This 490-nucleotide ribosomal RNA is filed under the name uncultured bacterium. RNAcentral's name for it is "bacterial SSU rRNA". It matches the Rfam family "Bacterial small subunit ribosomal RNA", at positions 30 to 507 of the family's 1533-position model. The record is from RNAcentral.
AUUGAACGCUGGCGGCAUGCUUUACACAUGCAAGUCGGACGGCAGCACAGAGAAGCUUGCUUCUUGGGUGGCGAGUGGCGAACGGGUGAGUAACAUAUCGGAACGUACCGAGCAGUGGGGGAUAACUAAUCGAAAGAUUAGCUAAUACCGCAUAUUUUCUGAGGAAGAAAGCAGGGGACCAUUUGGCCUUGCGCUGUUUGAGCGGCCGAUAUCUGAUUAGCUAGUUGGUGGGGUAAAGGCCUACCAAGGCGACGAUCAGUAGCGGGUCUGAGAGGAUGAUCCGCCACACUGGGACUGAGACACGGCCCAGACUCCUACGGGAGGCAGCAGUGGGGAAUUUUGGACAAUGGGCGCAAGCCUGAUCCAGCCAUGCCGCGUGUCUGAGGAAGGCCUUCGGGUUGUAAAGGACUUUUGUCAGGGAAGAAAAGGGCGGGGUUAAUACCCCUGUCUGAUGACGGUACCUGAAGAAUAAGCACCGGCUAACUACGUG